Molecule: ribosomal RNA, 253 nt
Filed under: uncultured bacterium
Lineage: Bacteria
Description: partial 16S ribosomal RNA
Rfam family: Bacterial small subunit ribosomal RNA
Source: RNAcentral
UACAGAGGGUGCAAGCGUUAAUCGGAAUUACUGGGCGUAAAGGGCGCGUAGGCGGCCUUCUAAGUCGCACGUGAAAUCCCCGGGCUCAACCCGGGAACUGCGUCCGAUACUGGGAGGCUUGAAUCCGGGAGAGGGAUGUGGAAUUCCAGGUGUAGCGGUGAAAUGCGUAGAUAUCUGGAGGAACACCGGUGGCGAAGGCGGCAUCCUGGACCGGUAUUGACGCUGAGGCGCGAAAGCCAGGGGAGCAAACGGG